GACAGAGGGUGCAAACGUUGUUCGGAAUUACUGGGCGUAAAGCGUGUGUAGGCGGUCUCAUAAGUCGGAUGUGAAAGCCCCGGGCUCAACCCGGGAAGUGCAUUCGAAACUGCGAGGCUAGGGUAUCGGAGAGGUUGGUGGAAUUCCAGGUGUAGCGGUGAAAUGCGUAGAUAUCUGGAGGAACACCGGUGGCGAAGGCGGCAUCCUGGACCAACACUGACACUGAGGAGCGAAAGCCAGGGGAGCAAACGGG
RNAcentral lists this ribosomal RNA (253 nucleotides) under uncultured bacterium. RNAcentral's name for it is "partial 16S ribosomal RNA". It matches the Rfam family "Bacterial small subunit ribosomal RNA", at positions 524 to 776 of the family's 1533-position model. The record is from RNAcentral.